RNAcentral lists this long non-coding RNA (236 nucleotides) under Elaeis guineensis (African oil palm). RNAcentral's name for it is "long non-coding RNA (EGUI_LNC078284)". The record is from RNAcentral. Lineage: Eukaryota; Viridiplantae; Streptophyta; Magnoliopsida; Arecales; Arecaceae.
GAUCAUGUAUAGUACAUGAUCGAUGACUGACGCUUUUUCUCUCAUUCAAGCAUUGAAGAUGGCACAACUAGUCUUGUGCCUCUCAAUAUCGUCAGGUGUGCCAAGGGACUCAUUCAAUAUUUCUAACAUGUCUUGUGGCUGAGCAUUCUCAAAAUAACGGUUGAACUCAUCAUUCAUUGCCGCCAGCAUAAUACAACGAACCGUAGUUCGGUCAUUGAGCCACUUCUAUAAGUAUC